Molecule: ribosomal RNA, 232 nt
Filed under: uncultured bacterium
Lineage: Bacteria
Description: partial 16S ribosomal RNA
Rfam family: Bacterial small subunit ribosomal RNA
Source: RNAcentral
CGGACGGGUGAGUAAUGUCUGGGAAACUACCUGAUGGAGGGGGAUAACUACUGGAAACGGUAGCUAAUACCGCAUAACGUCGCAAGACCAAAGAGGGGGACCUUCGGGCCUCUUGCCAUCGGAUGUGCCCAGAUGGGAUUAGCUAGUAGGUGGGGUAACGGCUCACCUAGGCGACGAUCCCUAGCUGGUCUGAGAGGAUGACCAGCCACACUGGAACUGAGACACGGUCCAG